RNAcentral lists this long non-coding RNA (677 nucleotides) under Equus caballus (horse). Its description in RNAcentral is "lncRNA (ENSECAG00000048553.1)". The record is from RNAcentral. Lineage: Eukaryota; Metazoa; Chordata; Mammalia; Perissodactyla; Equidae.
AUUCACACACCUGAUGGCACACUCAAGUUCUCACUGAGUCAACCUUAACCCAGGUCAGCUUGACUGGCUCUGAUAUGGCCCGACUGGGUUUUAGGGUCAAGGAUUGUGUUCCAAGUGCAAGGCUCUGUGCCUAGAACUACAGCAGGAACAGCAGGAGAGGGGGCAGAACAAUGAGAGCUGCCAUUUCUAUGGGAGAAGGAAGUGUCUGCUUCCUUUGAAAGUCGUCUUUAAGCCUCACAGAAGUCUUCAACAUGGACAUUAUAAUGUUCACGUUCCAAGUGCAAAAAGUGAAAAUUAGAAAAGUGAAUUGCUUGGUGUUUCCCGAUGAUCUUACCCGGAACCAGUGCUAUGAAAGAAAGCCAGUAGAAGUCUACGGCUUAGACGCUCUGUCUUGACCUCAGAGCAAUUACUUUCGCUGGACAAAAUGCACACUAAGGGAUGCCAGUGCCUACUGUUCUGGAAAAGGGCGAUGUUUGCCUCAGGAUUCAUACCCAGAUUUCCACAACGUACUCUGAGACUCAGCACUGGGUCACUGGGCUGAAGCUCUGCACUGAAGCCAACUGGCGUUUAAAUCACCAGACUGAAAGUUUGUGCACCACGAGCCAUAGCCAUACUCUCACAUGUGACUCAACUGUGGUUGGAGAUCUGUCUGAGCAGGGUACUGGGAAGAAUGCUGG